GGGAGAGGGGGUUAACAAUACAUCUGCCAGGGUUUUAUUGUCACCCCGCAAUCUUAACCCUCGACAGAGGUAAGGCUGACAAAUGGAUUGGCUUCGGAUACCACAAUCUGAGACCUAGAGAUUUUACCCAGUUUUUAUUUGUUAGUCUUAGCAACAAGAUAGGACCUUAACUACCCCCUGCCAUUCUUAUUAGAAAUCACAGCAGAGAUAAGGGACAAUUGCUUCUACUCAAAUCAGUCCGAGGAAGUACAGUUUCAGCCCUCAUUAAAAGUAAAUGCAGCACAGCCUCUAGAGAGAUGCUUUCUGAACAGCUCUAACUCUCAGCUAUGAAAGCCCAUCAAUAAUACCCUCUGCUGGAACCUUCUGUGGUCAAGAUAAAGUUCUUAUUAUCUUCUAACUAAUAUGCAAUUACUCUCCUCUAGGGAUUGAAGUGGAUGGAGGAAAACAUCUUGGCCAGGCCAAAUGCAAUUACAGAGCAAGUUAUCUACAGGAUGUUUGAAAGCCCUGCAUAAUACUUAGAAUACCUAAGGUGAAGAAUCAUUCAUUGACCCAUGUCUUGGCUGUGGAGAAACUGCCAGACAUGUUAGCUGAAAAAUUAUCCCAAGAGUUUGAGCAUUUCAAAGACAAGUUCCACUCCUACCUGUAUGGCCUAGGGUCUCAGCUACUUGGAGUGAGCAUGUCUCCAAUCAAGAGAGAGAAUACAGAAGUAGAGUGCAGGACACAGUUUGCUUUCACCUGGAGGGGCAUCCAGUACACCUGGAAUCAAUUGUCUCAGGGGUGGAAACACAGCUCCACUGUUUGCCAUGAACUGAUCCAGACUGCACUGGAGCAGGGCAAAGCUCCAGAACACCUGCAGUACAUUGACAACGUCAUCAUGUCGAGCAACACAGCAGAAGAAUUUCUCGAGAAAGGUGAAAGGAUAAUCCAGAUUUUUCUGCAAAACAGUUUUGCUAAAAAAUAAAGAAAGGUCAAGGAACCUGCACAAGAAAUCCUGGUUUUAGGAGUAAGAUGGCAGGAUGAACAUCGCCAAAUUCCAAUAGAUGUGGUCAACAAAAUAGCAGCUAUGUCUGACCCAACUAAUAAAAAGGAAACGAGACUUUCUUGGGGGUUGUGGGUUCUUGAAGAACACACAUUCUAAGCUAUGGUCAGAUUGUGAGCCCUCUUUACCAAGUGACCCAGAAGAAGAAUGAUUUUGAGGGGGCCCUAAGCAACAGCAAACUUUUGAACAAAUUAAGCAGGAGAUACGCUGGGUCAUGGCUUUUGAGCCAGGCCAGGCACAACAAGAUGUUUAAAAUGUGCUCUACGCAGCAGCUGGGAAGAAUGGGCCUACCUGGAGCCUGUGGCAGAAAGCACCAGGGGAGACUCGAGGUCUCACCUGGGGUUUUGGAGUCAGGGAUACAGAAGAUCUGAGGCCCACUACAUCCCAACUGAAAAGGAGAUAUUGGCAGCAUAUCAAGGGGUUUGAGCUGCUUCUGAAGUGGUUGGUCCUGAAGUGCAGCUCCCCCAGGCACCUUGACUGCUGGUGUUGGGCUGGAUGUUCAAAAGGAAGGUCUCUUCUACUCAUCAUGCAACUGAUGCCACAUAGAGUUAAUGAAGCAUGAACUUCAAAAAAACUCAAUGAAGUGCGGCAGUGAUGGAACCUGACCUGGCUCCAACAACUGGCAUCAAGCCACCUCCUUGAGGUUGAUGCUUUUGACCUGCAAACUGUGAGCACAAGCUAUGUGUUCCAGAUGCAGCAUGCAGUAAUACGACACUCCAACAUGACACUCCAUCUUUCCUGCCUGUCCUGAUAGAGUCCAAAAUGAAAAUGGACCCAAUGAACAUUUCAAAGGAAUGAGACUACGCCAUGAACUAAAGAAGAAAGUAUCUGUGUGUAUAUAUAUAUGGACAUGUAUUUAAGGUGGUAGUAAUUAGUUGAAGUGUGUGGGUAAAUGCAAGACCUGAGCAUGCAUAAAUGGUAUAGAAUAAGGGGUGGAAUGUGCUGGGUUGAUCGAGAUGGGGUUAAUUUCUACACUGCCAGGACAUCUGAGUAUUCAAUACCAUAUGAGGUCACCCUCAGUUAUAAAGGCAAAGAGCCAGCGGGUGGUGUCCAUUCUGCAGGUGCAGCCAGGAGCUGGGCGGUCUGGGUGCGGUGGCUUCCUCAUCAGCCACGCAGUUUGGAGUAACACCUUUGUAUUUCAGCCACGAGCUGCGGCUAAGGGCCGGGGGCAGUUUCUUGGCAGGAGCUAUGUCCAGGUCAAGGAGAGCCUUUGAGCGCAAGCUGCGGCAGGACCCGUGUACCACUCCGGGGCUGGGGAAGCACUGUGUGCUUCUGUAGGUUCUCUUGUUGUUGUUGUUAAUCCUUGACCAUUUUUUUUUCCCUUUCCUUCACUGUCUCCUUAAACUGUUCUUAUCACAACCCACGAGUUUUGCUUUUGUUUUCUGAUUCUCCUCCCUAUCCCACCAGGGUGGGGCAGGGGUGAGAGAGAGACACGUGGUUUUAGCUGCUGACUGGUUGGGCUGGGGCUAAACUACAGCUGAGAUUUAACAUAAGAAUAUAUUCCUAGGACUUUACCCAUUUCUUCCUAAGAGACUGCUGCAAAAAUCCACUGGUCUCUGCAGGAGAUCCUUUCCUUAUUUACACAAGCUUUGCAUCAAGAAACAUCAGCUGCUUUUUCACAAAAUUCAUUAAGACUAUCAGGCCCUCUCCUAUUUCCACUGUCAACCUGCUUCGCCCUUGGCCAACUUGGUCUGCAUGCAGAGGGAGCUCUUUGCCAGGCUGAGCUUCACCAAGGCUAAUCACAGAGGUGGAAAAGCAGAACAGCACCACAGGCUAGGGAUGUUUCUCUGCAAGACUUAGAUUAUAUCUGAAGCAGCUCACUUUCUACUGGCUACUGAGAACCCCCCAAGGACUGCCUGAGAGCUGCAGGACUCCUUUUUCACAGUCUUUGCUAAGCCAAGCCUAUUCUGGUUUUGCAGGACACAUUCUGGAUCCAGCACAUCACAUGGCAAACCUUUUUAUUUAGGAAGACUUGGCACCAUGCAGCAGCUCUACAACCACUUCAUAAUUUUCUACAGAUGGGAGCAAACAGUCUCUCACGCGAUCUCCUUCACCUACCCUAAGAGCAAGGACAAAAAAGUGUGUGGCACAUGGAUCACAGCUGUGUAGACUUGGCAGAUGUCCUCGAGUCACCACCAUCAGUUCAUUACAUUGCCUGUGAACCUGCUUUAUGCCAGCAUACAGUCCUGUAUCUGCUCCCCCAGCUCCUCCCUGCCCCAGUCCUGAAGUCUAAAGGUUUAGAAUAACUCCUUGUCCUAUGUCUCACUGUCAAAAAAAAAAAAAAAAAAGAAGUCUGGUUUCCUAUUAGCAUAAAGAAAGUCACAUUGGCACUGACAACAAACUUAGGAAGCUUCAAUUUAAUCUACAGAAAACAUCUAUAAAAAAAAAAUGGAAGUUGCUUGAAACUGCUUGUCUAGGGUUAACUGCAAAUGUCUCAACGUUCCAAAUUUUUAUAAGACAGAACAAAAUGUACAUUGAUUCCAUGCAUGAAUCAGCUGCCCUUGAAUACUACCCAGCAAUCUUUUUUUUUUUUUUUUUUUUUCAGAGAGCUAUUUGGCAAUUUAAAGCCUGAACGAUGACAAUUCUACCAGAUUCUAAGGUGAUUUUUUCAACUAGCUAAUUGACUUCACUAGAAACCAAUUAUAUUGAUUCUGAUAGUGUGCGUCCUCAGAAGCUAGGCCACUGAACUGGGGGCUUUUGUUGUGUUGUCCCUCUUCCUCAGACAGAUAACCAAACAUACUCAUGAAAUGACUUGUCAGUUUCUCUACAAACAACUUGGUAGAUCAGAUUUCUUACUCUCCUGUUCUACAGGCAUGGUCUUCAGCUCUCAGAUUAAUUGUGUAGCUCUUUUCUGGCCUUGUUCCAAUUCUUCAAUGCUCUCUGAAGCACUGACACUGGACUAAACAGUGUUCCUGCAGUGGCCUCCCCAGCACAUUUCUCCCCUGCUCCCACCACUCACCUGAGGACUGCAGCUUCCCUCUCAAGCUGCAGUAUUUGGCUUGGCAGUCAUGUUAGCUAGUUAUCUUCCAAGUUCUUUGCACCAUCAAUGUAUUCCAGAUAAGGUCUCCAACCUUGCUUGCCUCCAUGCUUUGCUCCUAGAUGUACAGCCUUACAUUUAACAGCACUAGACAAGACCAGCUUUCAGGUGACUCAGCUCUGCUCCCACAACUGACUUGUCGUUUACCUCCUCUCCAUCUGCAGAAUCUCCAUGUUUCUGCAAACAAUUAUUUGGUAUUUACAUCACUGACAAAGCCACUGGGUAAUGCAGGGCCAGGAACAGAUACCUUUUGUACUUCUUUAUAAGCAUCUUCUUAGCUUCCCUCUUCCUUAGUGAAGGAUGACUCUCCAUCUACAGCCAUUUUAUGAGAAUGAUCACUUCCCCUGAGCUGUCUACAAUAAGCCACUUUGAUUUUGUCUAGUAUGUACUCCUAUAUCACUAGAAACAAAGUCAGAAGCCUCCAAAUCUACGUAUAAUUACGUUGACACAAUUUUUAUCAGCAAAAAUCACACUCUUAUCAAGAACUGGGGGAUUGUAUUUGUCUGACAAGGCCAGUUUCCCAUUGAAGAAAACGGGCUAGCAUCAUCCUGCCUUCUCUUAGCUUUUUACUAGCUGCAGAGCCCAUCAGCCUUUUUAAGCUUUGAGCAAACUAAAGUUUGGGUAGCCUGACAAGCUACCCAACUCCUUGUCCCAGAAUAAUGCUGAUACAGUAGGAUUUUUCCACUCCCUUGGAAGUUUUUCGAGUACCUAUAUUAGUGAUUGAAAGACUUCCUUGGCUUAGUCUCUAAAUAUUCUGGACUGUAAGUUAACCAUUGUUAAUGUUUUGUACAUUUAAAAACACUGACAUGUAACAUUUUUCCUGACUUAUGGAAGUAAUUUCUUACUGGAGCCUUACUUGGCCCUUAUGACCAAGCUUUGAAUACAGAGUCCUCCUUUCCAAACACCAAGAAAUAGUUACUGGUUGUUUCUGCCUUUUCUGUUUCAUGAGAAACAAUUUUGCAACCCUGUUCAGUAUAGAGCCUGUACCACUGCUAGGAUUUCAUGAAUCCCUGCUACAUUUAAAGAAUCUUUUCUUAUUAUUCCAAACCUGCUGCCCAAAGGCUCUUCAUCAGUACCCUUCAGUUUUCUCAUCAGUUGUUUACAUUUCUUUCCAGAUUACUUGUCCAAAUCACUUCCUCUAUAUUUCCAUUAAUUGUUUUGGGGGUUUAUUGCUGGUUUCAUCUCCUCUGCUAAGCGAAACAGCUUUUUUUAACUAAAUAAUUCAUCUUCGCAAACGCAGAAUUGUGAUUUCUCAAGGACCUCAUAUAGCAUUCUUGAACAACUCCCAAUUAUCAUUCACUUUUUUUAUGCUCAAGUUCUUCCUCCCACUUUAUUUGGCCUAUAAUUAUUUUCAGUUUGGGGAAACUGGACCCUCUUAAAGCACCAAUCAUACACAUUAUUGGUUGGGACUAUAUAUUCGCUUUUAACAUAGCAAAUUAAGUUUGGACACAAUUAUUUAUACCUAAGCAAACAUUCUUUUCAGUUCAGUGAUUAAUUCAUUUUUAUUAACCUGGAUGAGGUCUGAAAUUACGUUGCUCCAAGCCAGCUGUGAUAACUUCUAGAUAGAGUGUUAUUCAUAUAUGUGUUUCAGGCAAUAGGUUUCUUCCAGUGCUGCAAAAACACACCUGAAAUUCCUAAAUGGAAGUGUAUUUCUUCUCUUCUGUCAGCCUUUCAAUGAGCUGCUCACCCAGGCAUUGUGCAAUACUGAUAGUAAGUACUUCUGUCCCCUGUGGUGGUGUUGAUUAGCUACAACCUUGAGCUUGAUGUCUUCUUUUGACUUACA
This is a long non-coding RNA of Columba livia (rock pigeon), 5859 nucleotides long. RefSeq lists it as uncharacterized. The transcript is spliced from 4 exons. NCBI's taxonomy places the organism in Eukaryota, Metazoa, Chordata, Aves, Columbiformes, Columbidae. The record is from RefSeq and is a predicted model, not a curated record.